GCUAACACAUACAGCAUCGUUUCAUUCAUUUUUCAGUGAUGUGUGGCAUAUUUCUAUUUUGCUACAGUCUUUAUAAUAUAAGUUGAUAAAGUAAUAUAAAAUUUAUAACUCAGAAUUUUAUGAAGGAACGUGUUGACCUUAAGCAUUUUAAAAGGUUACAAAAAUAAUGUACAUAGUAAUAAGAAAUGAAGCAUAACAGAGGUGUACCAAGCACAAAACCACUGUUACCCUACUCUUCACAUUUUAUUUGUAUGAAUCUUAAUAUGUACCUUUUUUGUUAUUAGACAGGAUAGGUAGGUUUUGAUUAAAUUGUGGGAAAAGGCCCAAUAGGAGGCA
RNAcentral lists this long non-coding RNA (336 nucleotides) under Bos taurus (domestic cattle). RNAcentral describes it as "long non-coding RNA NONBTAT018304". The record is from RNAcentral. Lineage: Eukaryota; Metazoa; Chordata; Mammalia; Artiodactyla; Bovidae.